RNAcentral lists this ribosomal RNA (419 nucleotides) under uncultured Tulasnella. Its description in RNAcentral is "LSU rRNA". It matches the Rfam family "Bacterial large subunit ribosomal RNA", at positions 1712 to 2107 of the family's 2925-position model. Lineage: Eukaryota; Fungi; Basidiomycota; Agaricomycetes; Cantharellales; Tulasnellaceae. The record is from RNAcentral.
UCUUGGCAAAUUAUCCUCAUWAGUUAGGCGAUAUGRAGRACCAUUGAAUGAAAAAAAUUAGAACUUUUAAUCCUUUUGAUUUCAAAGGGGUCCCCAAAUCGGAGGCCCCGACUGUUUACCUAAAACACAGCUUUCUGCGACGAAUAAUAUUCUGUGUAUAGAAAGUGAAUUUUGCCCAAUGCCAUUAAUAUAAGAUUUAUAAGCGCAUAGCGUAUUUAUGAAUUGAAGUUCUGGUCAAUGGCGGUCUUAUCUAUGAGGAUCCUAAGGUAGCAAAAUUAAUUGUCCAUUAAAUGUGGUCCUGACUGAAUAAAGUAACGAUGGUCUCACUGUCUCUACAAGUAUCUCAGUGAAAUUGAAUUAGCCGUGCAGAUGCGGUUUAACUUCGGGUAGACGGGAAGACCCUAUGCAGCUUCUACUGA